RNAcentral lists this ribosomal RNA (780 nucleotides) under Staphylococcus aureus. Its description in RNAcentral is "bacterial SSU rRNA". It matches the Rfam family "Bacterial small subunit ribosomal RNA", at positions 79 to 842 of the family's 1533-position model. The record is from RNAcentral. Lineage: Bacteria; Bacillati; Bacillota; Bacilli; Caryophanales; Staphylococcaceae.
CUUGCUUCUCUGAUGUUAGCGGCGGACGGGUGAGUAACACGUGGAUAACCUACCUAUAAGACUGGGAUAACUUCGGGAAACCGGAGCUAAUACCGGAUAAUAUUUUGAACCGCAUGGUUCAAAAGUGAAAGACGGUCUUGCUGUCACUUAUAGAUGGAUCCGCGCUGCAUUAGCUAGUUGGUAAGGUAACGGCUUACCAAGGCAACGAUGCAUAGCCGACCUGAGAGGGUGAUCGGCCACACUGGAACUGAGACACGGUCCAGACUCCUACGGGAGGCAGCAGUAGGGAAUCUUCCGCAAUGGGCGAAAGCCUGACGGAGCAACGCCGCGUGAGUGAUGAAGGUCUUCGGAUCGUAAAACUCUGUUAUUAGGGAAGAACAUAUGUGUAAGUAACUGUGCACAUCUUGACGGUACCUAAUCAGAAAGCCACGGCUAACUACGUGCCAGCAGCCGCGGUAAUACGUAGGUGGCAAGCGUUAUCCGGAAUUAUUGGGCGUAAAGCGCGCGUAGGCGGUUUUUUAAGUCUGAUGUGAAAGCCCACGGCUCAACCGUGGAGGGUCAUUGGAAACUGGAAAACUUGAGUGCAGAAGAGGAAAGUGGAAUUCCAUGUGUAGCGGUGAAAUGCGCAGAGAUAUGGAGGAACACCAGUGGCGAAGGCGACUUUCUGGUCUGUAACUGACGCUGAUGUGCGAAAGCGUGGGGAUCAAACAGGAUUAGAUACCCUGGUAGUCCACGCCGUAAACGAUGAGUGCUAAGUGUUAGGGGGGUUUCCGCCCCUUA